AAAAGUUGACAAAAUAUGAAUCAUGAGAAAACAUAAACACAACUACAUUUGUAGAUGUCAAUAGUUAUGUAAUGCAACAAUGAUUUAUUUUAAAAUCUAUAUGGCGAUGCCAAGUUUGUACAUAUAUGUUUUAGUACUUUAAAAAAAAAUCACAAGCUUUUCAUGGGUAAUUGGGUAUUUUUAAAAGAUUAAUGGGAACAUUACAUAAUAUUAACUGGAUUUUUUUCAGAACUUUGGGAUAUCAAUUAAUUAAAUCUACAAUCUCAAGGAUUCUCUUUACAUAAGAGAAUUACGAAAAUGAUUAGUCACACAAGGAGAUCCUCGUAAAAAUGGC
Molecule: long non-coding RNA, 334 nt
Filed under: Capsella rubella
Lineage: Eukaryota; Viridiplantae; Streptophyta; Magnoliopsida; Brassicales; Brassicaceae
Description: long non-coding RNA (CRUB_LNC002744)
Source: RNAcentral